Molecule: long non-coding RNA, 4076 nt
Filed under: Salmo salar (Atlantic salmon)
Lineage: Eukaryota; Metazoa; Chordata; Actinopteri; Salmoniformes; Salmonidae
Description: lncRNA (ENSSSAG00000087725.1)
Source: RNAcentral
CAACAGUUAACGACAAUAAAUGAUAUCGAAAAAUUACGUCUCACGUUUGACUUGGUCCCGGAAAUAAUGUCUGCUCCACAAAUACCACCCUAUUCCCUAUCUAGUGCACUACUUUCAACCAGGGCCCAUAGGGAAUAAGGUGCCAUUGGGGAUACAGACAAUGAUAUUUGGAGGAAGCUUCUUUUUUUUUGUUGGAAGGGAAAUCCUUCACUUUGACAAAGAGGACCAAAAGUCAAGGGUCGCGACCUUACGUGACCUUUAGGAUCCAUAACACUGACCAGGAAGUGUUUAAUUCUCACCCUUCACACUCGACGGCAGCCCCCUCUGAGUAGGACGAAGUUACGCCCCUUAGACACUGAUCUAAGAUCAGUUUUGUGUUUGUCCUCUCCCAACAGUGAAGGUUCGGGUUUAAGGAUGGGAAACUGACCCUAGAUCUCCCUUUAAGGGAUACUCUGACCUGGAGCCGGUCUUUCUCACAACACUACAGAACCACAGAGGACAGCCUACAUUCUCAAAAUAUCAAAUAAAAACAUUUAUCAAAACAAUUUCAUGGGCAUUUUACCAACCGUAGCUGUGCUUUGGAGAGAGGUCUUUCAACUCACUUAGAUACACAAAAACAAUGUGUAUAUUUGACAGAAUAUAAUCAACAACAUUUGUGUGGUUGCUAUGGCGAGGAAGUGAACUAAACACGGGGUUAGUUAAGACUAGUAGAAGGCUUUUUGGCUGGUUUGUUGACAUGACAGAAUCCUCAUGUUCUCAUUACACUGACGUUUAGAGAAGCCUGGGGACAAACCUACCUCUUUCUCCAUCCAACAUCUCACCGUUGGGGGGGAAAGGGGGGAAACACUGGUAAUAGAGUAAUUGUACUAGCCACCACCACAAGCUCAUUUUUAAACCUCUCCAUCUCGUUAGGGUUGGAGGCCUGUAUGUAUUUCUCUUCACAGUCAAACAGUUCAUGGUUGCAACACAUGGAAUCAACUAAACAGAGCUCAGAUUGCCUGAUUCAUCAACAGCUUGUUGUAUGUAGGCCUACUAGACUACAGCAACAGAGAAGAGAACAGAGAUAGUAUGAAUUGCGUUGAAGGUAAAGUUAACUGUCAAAAUAACAUUUCAUUUCAGACCAAUUCGGGAAGAAAUUAGAAUUUAAAACAAAUCGAUAAACACAUGUACAAAAACAAAAGGAGAAAAACCCCAUGUCCGAGGGGAUCCAAGAUGGCCGACAACGGUUGUUAGUUUCUAUUUCAAAUGAAGUCACUUGUGGUGCUUGAAUACAUUCAAUGCCUAGCUAAUCCUUCUGCUAUACGUGUUUUUAAUCCAUUUAUAUAUAUUUGAUAAUAACACAGACAGGAUGAUGUUAUGUUGUUGCCACUACUCCCUUAACUGCCUGACUGACUGACUAACUGACUGACUGACAAUAAUCUACUUCUCCUUUCAGCCGUCGGGGAGUGGUGUGUGUGUGCUGUGUGUGUGGCAUGUGUGCAACAGCUACCAGUGAACAGGAAAUGAAGAGAAGCUCGGCUCAGAAAGAGAGAGCAGGCCGGUUGCUUAGCAACAGGACUGUGGGGCGACCACACAGCGCCUGCGCUAAAUACCGCCACAAAAGAAGACCACAAUCUGUUUUGUUUUGAUGUUUUCAGUUACACACAGCCAGACGAACAAACCAACGAACGCAGACAAAAACACGUCUCUAGAGAGGAGAGAGGGGAGGGAGGGAGAAAGUGGGGAGGGAGGGAGAGAGAAAGAGUGGGGAGAGAUGGAGAGAGGGAGAGGGAAAGAGUGGGAAGGGAGAGAGGGGAGGGAGGGAGGGAGGGAAGGGAGAGUGAGAAAGAGACAGGGGGUAGGGAGGGAAAGAGUGGGAAGGGAGGGAGAGCGAGGGGACGGAAGGAAGGGAGAGUGAGUAAGAGAGAGGGGGGCAGGGAGUGAGAGAGGGAGGGAAAGAGUGGGAAGGGAGGGAAAGAGUGGGAAGGGAGGGAGAGAGGGAGGGAAAGAGUGGGAAGGGAGGGAAAGAGUGGGAAGGGAGGGAGAGAGGGAGGGAAAGAGUGGGAAGGGAGGGAGAGCGAGCGAGGGGACGUAGGGAAGGGAGAGUGAGAAAGAGAGAGGUUGGGCAGGGAGUGAGAGAGGGAGGGAAAGAGUGGGAAGGGAGGGAGAGAGGGAGGGAAAGAGUGGGAAGGGAGGGAGAGAGGGGAGGGUGAAUAGAAAUGUGAAACAGGGAAGAAAUGCGAGUAGAGAGAGAGUGAUCUCAACCACUUCUCAGAUAGACAGAGGUGACAGCUCUCUUCUGAGCUCUGACGGCUGUCACAGAAGUGGGUUGACGUGACGGCGUGUGUGUGUAUUUAUCUCCUUGUCUGCCUGUCUGUCUGCUUGUCUGUCUGUCUGUCUCUCGUCUGUCUUUCAAAGGGACCUGCAUGUGUAGAAAUGCUACGAUCACACGCCAUCACACACAGCAUGAAUAUAACGUGGAGGGGAUAGAUGUCAAACCUGUCAGACACAAUCCAAUAACCCAGGUAUCGAAGAAAAACUAAUACUGGAAAAAUACAUAUAGAUUUCCUACCCCUAUAUUGAAAAACAAAUAUUAAAACGAUUCUCCCCUGUUUGAGAGCUUGUAGUCAGUCUCUUGUCUUGUAGUCAGUCUCCUGUCUUGUAGUCAGUCUCCUGUCUUUCUCCUGUCUUGUAGUCAGUUUCCUGUCUCUCUCCUGUCCUGUAGUCAGUCUCCUGUCUCUCUCCUGUCUUGUAGUCAGUCUCCUGUCUCUCUCCUGUCUUGUAGUCAGUCUCCUGUCUUGUAGUCAGUCUCCCGUCUCUCCUGUCUUGUAGUCAGUCUCCUGUCUUGUAGUCAGUCUCCUGUCUCUCCUGUCUUGUAGUCAGUCUCCCGUCUUUCUCCCGUCUUGUAGUCAGUCUCCUGUCUCUCUCCUGUCUUGUAGUCAGUCUCCUGUCUCUCUCCUGUCUUGUAGUCAGUCUCCCGUCUCUCCUGUCUUGUAGUCAGUCUCCUGUCUCUCCUGUCUUGUAGUCAGUCUCCUGUCUCUCCUGUCUUGUAGUCAGUCUCCUGUCUCUCUCCUGUCUUGUAGUCAGUCUCCCGUCUCUCCUGUCUUGUAGUCAGUCUCCUGUCUUGUAGUCAGUCUCCUGUCUCUCCUGUCUUGUAGUCAGUCUCCCGUCUUUCUCCCGUCUUGUAGUCAGUCUCCUGUCUCUCUCCUGUCUUGUAGUCAGUCUCCUGUCUCUCUCCUGUCUUGUAGUCAGUCUCCUGUCUCUCCUGUCUUGUAGUCAGUCUCCUGUCUUGUAGUCAGUUUCCUGUCUCUCUCCUGUCCUGUAGUCAGUCUCCUGUCUCUCUCCUGUCUUGUAGUCAGUCUCCUGUCUCUCUCCUGUCUUGUAGUCAGUCUCCUGUCUUGUAGUCAGUCUCCUGUCUUGUAGUCAGUCUCCUGUCUCUCCUGUCUUGUAGUCAGUCUCCUGUCUCUCCUGUCUUGUAGUCAGUCUCCUGUCUUGUAGUCAGUCUCCUGUCUUGUAGUCAGUCUCCUGUCUUGUAGUCAGUCUCCUGUCUCUCUCCUGUCUUGUAGUCAGUCUCCCGUCUCUCUCCUGUCUUGUAGUCAGUCUCCUGUCUCUCUCCUGUCUUGUAGUCAGUCUCCCGUCUCUCCUGUCUUGUAGUCAGUCUCCUGUCUCUCUCCUGUCUUGUAGUCAGUCUCCUGUCUCUCCUGUCUUGUAGUCAGUCUCCUGUCUCUCUCCUGUCUUGUAGUCAGUCUCCCGUCUCUCCUGUCUUGUAGUCAGUCUCCUGUCUUUCUCCUGUCUUGUAGUCAGUCUCCUGUCUCUCCUGUCUUGUAGUCAGUCUCCCGUCUCUCCUGUCUUGUAGUCAGUCUCCUGUCUUGUAGUCAGUCUCCUGUCUUGUAGUCAGUCUCCCGUCUCUCCUGUCUUGUAGUCAGUCUCCUGUCUCUCCUGUCUUGUAGUCAGUCUCCUGUCUCUCCUGUCUUGUAGUCAGUCUCCUGUCUCUCCUGUCUUGUAGUCAGUCUCCCGUCUCUCCUGUCUUGUAGUCAGUCUCCUGUCUCUCCUGUCUUGUAGUCAGUCUCCUGUCUCUCCUGUCUUGUAGUCAGUCU